CGCAUAAGCCCACGGCUCGGCAUCGAGCAGAGGGAAAAGGAGCAAUCCGCUUUGAGAUGGCCUCGCGUCCGAUUAGCUAGUUGGUGAGGUAAUGGCCCACCAAGGCGACGAUCGGUAGCCGGACUGAGAGAUUGAACGGCCACAUUGGGACUGGGACACGGCCCAGACUCCUACGGGAGGCAGCAGUGGGGAAUAUUGCACAAUGGGGGAAACCCUGAUGCAGCGACGCCGCGUGGAGGAAGAAGGUCUUCGGAUUGUAAACUCCUGUUGUUGAGGAAGAUAAUGACGGUACUCAACAAGGAAGUGACGGCUAACUACGUGCCAGCAGCCGCGGUAAAACGUAGGUCACAAGCGUUGUCCGGAAUUACUGGGUGUAAAGGGAGCGCAGGCGGGCGAUCAAGUUGGAAGUGAAAUCCAUGGGCUCAACCCAUGAACUGCUUUCAAAACUGAUUGUCUUGAGUAGUGCAGAGGUAGGCGGAAUUCCCGGUGUAGCGGUGGAAUGCGUAGAUAUCGGGAGGAACACCAGUGGCGAAGGCGGCCUACUGGGCACCAACUGACGCUGAGGCUCGAAAGUGUGGGUAGCAAACAGGAUUAGAUACCCUGGUAGUCCACACCGUAAACGAUGAUUACUAGGUGUUGGAGGAUUGACCCUUUCAGUGCCGCAGUUAACACAAUAAGUAAUCCACCUGGGGAGUACGACCGCAAGGUUGAAACUCAAAGGAAUUGACGGGGCCCGCACAAGCAGUGGAGUAUGUGGUUUAAUUCGACGCAACGCGAAGAACCUUACCAAGUCUUGACAUCCUGCGACGAUGCUAGAAAUAGUAUUUUCCUUCGGGACGCAGAGACAGGUGGUGCAUGGUUGUCGUCAGCUCGUGUCGUGAGAUGUUGGGUUAAGUCCCGCAACGAGCGCAACCCUUAUGGUCAGUUACUACGCAAGAGGACUCUGGCCAGACUGCCGUUGACAAAACGGAGGAAGGUGGGGAUGACGUCAAAUCAUCAUGCCCUUUAUGACUUGGGCUACACACGUACUACAAUGGCGUUAAACAAAGAGAAGCAAGACCGCGAGGUGGAGCAAAACUCAGAAACAACGUCCCAGUUCGGACUGCAGGCUGCAACUCGCCUGCACGAAGUCGGAACUGCUAGUAAUCGCAGAUCAGCAUGCUGCGGUGAAUACGUUCCCGGGCCUUGUACACACCGCCCGUCACACCAUGAGAGCCGGGGGGACCCGAAGUCGGUAGUCUAACCGCAAGGAGGACGCCGCCGAAGGUAAAACUGGUGAUUGGGGUGAAGUCGUAACAAGGUA
This 1303-nucleotide ribosomal RNA is filed under the name metagenome. RNAcentral's name for it is "bacterial SSU rRNA". It matches the Rfam family "Bacterial small subunit ribosomal RNA", at positions 170 to 1498 of the family's 1533-position model. The record is from RNAcentral.